UAGCUUUAUUUGUGAAUUCUUGGGUAUUUCAACUCCUUCCGUCUGUUGACAUCCAUUGUAGAGAAUCGUAUAUUAUUAAUUAAAAAUGUUGAUCAUUUCAAUUCUUACACUUAGGAUUGAAAUUGAGUAAGAUUACAUGUUGACUGUGUUAUUUUGAAAAAUAGGAACAAAUCAUUCUGUUUUGUUUUUAACUGAAAGAAAAGAGAAGCAGUUUGGUAUUUUUCAGUCUGGUAUUGCAAAUUUAGCUUAAUCUUAAAUUUAGCAAAAGGUAAAGAAAAGAGAUCCCAAUAUCACCAUAGCAAAUGAGUAGAUACAUUUUAAUUAAUUAUUUUCGGCAGGAAUAUGCAAAAUGUCUCUUAUUUCAGUUCAAAGUUCUUACUUCAGAUGGAAACAACUAUAAAUUUUUCUCAAUCAUCCAUUCUAUUUUCUGAUUCUUUUCCUAAUUAUAUCGAUUGCCCCCUUGCAUGUUGCAGACACUGAACCUAUUUUUUUCUUAGAAAUCAUGUUUUAGCUAAUUCAAUUCCUUUCAUGUGUAAUAUCAUUUUUUUUUAAUUUUUGAAAAUAAUCAGGUCUUUUUGUUCUGCUAAAUUUUCUCACAGGAUGUUGUUUAGUAAUAAAUG
RNAcentral lists this unclassified non-coding RNA (620 nucleotides) under Hevea brasiliensis (rubber tree). Lineage: Eukaryota; Viridiplantae; Streptophyta; Magnoliopsida; Malpighiales; Euphorbiaceae. The record is from RNAcentral.